RNAcentral lists this ribosomal RNA (512 nucleotides) under uncultured bacterium. RNAcentral describes it as "partial 16S ribosomal RNA". It matches the Rfam family "Bacterial small subunit ribosomal RNA", at positions 28 to 523 of the family's 1533-position model. The record is from RNAcentral.
GACGAACGCUGGCGGCGUGCCUAAUACAUGCAAGUCGAGCGGACAGAAGGGAGCUUGCUCCCGGAAGUCAGCGGCGGACGGGUGAGUAACACGUGGGUAACCUGCCUAUAAGACUGGGAUAACUCCGGGAAACCGGGGCUAAUACCGGAUAAUAUCAAGAGCUGCAUGGCUUUUGGUUGAAAGGCGGCUUCGGCUGUCACUUAUAGAUGGACCCGCGGCGCAUUAGCUAGUUGGCGGGGUAACGGCCCACCAAGGCAACGAUGCGUAGCCGACCUGAGAGGGUGAUCGGCCACACUGGGACUGAGACACGGCCCAGACUCCUACGGGAGGCAGCAGUAGGGAAUCUUCCGCAAUGGACGAAAGUCUGACGGAGCAACGCCGCGUGAGUGAAGAAGGUUUUCGGAUCGUAAAACUCUGUUGUCAGGGAAGAACAAGUACCGGAGUAACUGCCGGUACCUUGACGGUACCUGACCAGAAAGCCACGGCUAACUACGUGCCAGCCGCCGCAGUAA